This 376-nucleotide ribosomal RNA is filed under the name uncultured organism. RNAcentral describes it as "partial 16S ribosomal RNA". It matches the Rfam family "Bacterial small subunit ribosomal RNA", at positions 526 to 896 of the family's 1533-position model. The record is from RNAcentral.
GUAGGUGGGCAAGCGUUGUCCGGAAUUAUUGGGCGUAAAGCGCGCGCAGGGCGGUCCUUUAAGUCUGAUGUGAAAGCCCACGGCUCAACCGUGGAGGGUCAUUGGAAACUGGGGGACUUGAGUACAGAAGAGGAAAGCGGAAUUCCAAGUGUAGCGGUGAAAUGCGUAGAGAUUUGGAGGAACACCAGUGGCGAAGGCGGCUUUCUGGUCCGUAACUGACGCUGAGGCGCGAAAGCGUGGGGAGCAAACAGGAUUAGAUACCCUGGUAGUCCACGCCGUAAACGAUGAGUGCUAAGUGUUAGGGGGGUUUCCGCCCCCUUAGUGCUGCAGCUAACGCAUUAAGCACUCCGCCUGGGGAGUACGGCCGCAAAGGCUG